CACUUUUUUUGGAGCGCUGGUUUUUCCCUGUCUGUCUCUCCUCUCGUAUGAUAGUUUUUGCCUGCCUCACUCACGACGGCUUUUGCCUAUUCCCUGCCUGUACUGUUGCCAUUUUUGGACCUACCGCGUAUGACCUUCUGCCUGGCCCUGGACCCAGCUACCUGCCUCCUCCUCCUAUGGUCCGUUUCAUUAAACCCCUGCUGCGGUUUUGCUAUCCACAAGGUUUGCUAUCCACCUGGAUUCAGCUGGAUUCAGCUGCUCUUCUCUGGUCUAUGGUCCAGGAGGCUUUCAUCUCUAGACCGCUGAUGCUGAGGGAGGUUAUAGGGUGGUUUUGGAAAUGUUUUACCAGAUGGUGUCAUACAGCAAUGUCUCAUGUUGAAGGAUGCUCUUCAACCCCACAUCCCCUUGACUUCCACUCCUCCCUCCUUCAACACCUCCGCUCUCUCUCCUCCCAGGUUUGUUACCCCAUACAAACAAGAUAAAGCAAUGUCUCAUGUUGAAGGAUGCCCUUCAACCCCCACAUCCCCUUAACUGCCACUCCUCCCUCCAACACCUCCUCCUCCCAGGUAUGUUACCCCAUACAAACAAGAUAAAGCAAUGUCUCAUGUUGAAGGAUGCUCUUCAACCCCACAUCCCCUUAACUGCCACUCCUCCCUCCUUCAACACCUCCUCCUCUCUCUCUCCUCCCAGGACACCAUACAUACACAGUGUGUGUGUGUGAGGAGACAUCUGAGGCUCAUAUUGUUCUUGUUUCCCAGAAUUCCAUGCUGCUCGCUCCCGGUGCUUAACAUAGUUGGCAGUUCUCUUCAUCCUCCUAACUACACAGUAUGGCCUUUUUUUUUUUUUUUUUUUUAAAAGACGGCCAGACCAGGUGCAUAUUCUCUUCCAGAUCCAACUCUGUUCUGUUCUUGUGCUGAAGCUCUGUCCAGCACCACUGCUCAAGCGUGUCCAACACUUUCACUGGAGAGAGAGAGAGAGAAAGAAGAGACGUCACAGAGUGAGAGGAAAGAUUUGAAGAGUGGAACAAAGACACCAGCAGAAAAAAGUACAUUUAUAUAUAAAAAAAUAUCUAACCGUACUAUCAAACAUCCACACCCAGUUCCAUCUAAACCAACUCUACAUCCAAACCCCAAACACCAGUUUGGAGGUUCCAUCAAAACAGCCACAUCCGGCAAGUGUGACUCACACAGCCACAUGAGAAGCAGUCUUACUCUGUAUAAAAUGUCUUACUUAUAGCUUACUUACUCUUACAUUACAGAGAGUAAAUCCAGUAUUGUACACUAUAAAUCCAGUAUUGU
This is a long non-coding RNA of Oncorhynchus tshawytscha (Chinook salmon), 1298 nucleotides long. NCBI's taxonomy places the organism in Eukaryota, Metazoa, Chordata, Actinopteri, Salmoniformes, Salmonidae. The record is from Ensembl.